AGUGAACGCUGGCGGUAGGCCUAACACAUGCAAGUCGAACGGCAGCACAGUAAGAGCUUGCUCUUACGGGUGGCGAGUGGCGGACGGGUGAGGAAUACAUCGGAAUCUACUUUUUCGUGGGGGAUAACGUAGGGAAACUUACGCUAAUACCUCAUACGACCUACGGGUGAAAGCAGGAGAUAUUCGGACCUUGCGCGAUUGAAUUAGCCGAUGUCGGAUUAGCUAGUUGGCGGGGUAAAGGCCCACCAAGGCGACGAUCCGUAGCUGGUCUGAGAGGAUGAUCAGCCACACUGGAACUGAGACACGGUCCAGACUCCUACGGGAGGCAGCAGUGGGGAAUAUUGGACAAUGGGCGCAAGCCUGAUCCAGCAAUACCGCGUGGGUGAAGAAGGCCUUCGGGUUGUAAAGCCCUUUUGUUGGGAAAGAAAAGCAGCAGGUUAAUACCCCGCUGUUCUGACGGUACCCAAAGAAUAAGCACCGGCUAACUUCGUG
RNAcentral lists this ribosomal RNA (492 nucleotides) under uncultured bacterium. Its description in RNAcentral is "partial 16S ribosomal RNA". It matches the Rfam family "Bacterial small subunit ribosomal RNA", at positions 29 to 507 of the family's 1533-position model. The record is from RNAcentral.